RNAcentral lists this ribosomal RNA (468 nucleotides) under uncultured bacterium. RNAcentral's name for it is "partial 16S ribosomal RNA". It matches the Rfam family "Bacterial small subunit ribosomal RNA", at positions 28 to 507 of the family's 1533-position model. The record is from RNAcentral.
GACGAACGCUGGCGGCGUGCUUAACACAUGCAAGUCGAACGGAAAGGCCCUGCUUUUGGGGGGUGCUCGGGUGGCGAACGGGUGAGUAACACGUGAGUAACCUGCCCUUGACUUUGGGAUAACUUCAGGAAACUGGGGCUAAUACCGGAUAGGAGCUCCUGCUGCAUGGUGUGGGUUGGAAAGUUUCGGCGUUUGGGGAUGGACUCGCGGUUUAUCAGCUGGUUGGUGGGGUAGUGGCUUACCAAGGCUUUGACGGGUAGCCGGCCUGAGAGGGUGACCGGCCACAUUGGGACUGGGAUCCGGCCCAGACUCCUACGGGAGGCAGCAGUGGGGAAUAUUGCACAAGGGGCGGAAGCCUGAUGCAGCAACGCCGCGUGCGGGAUGACGGCCUUCGGGUGGUAAACCGCUUUCGCCUGUGACGAAGCGUGAGUGACGGUAAUGGGUAAAGAAGCACCGGCUAACUACGUG